Molecule: ribosomal RNA, 253 nt
Filed under: uncultured bacterium
Lineage: Bacteria
Description: partial 16S ribosomal RNA
Rfam family: Bacterial small subunit ribosomal RNA
Source: RNAcentral
UACAGAGGUCUCAAGCGUUGUUCGGAUUCAUUGGGCGUAAAGGGUGUGUAGGUGGCGCCGUAAGUCGGGUGUGAAAUUUCGGAGCUUAACUCCGAAACUGCAUUCGAUACUGCGGUGCUUGAGGACUGGGGAGGGGACUGGAAUUCAUGGUGUAGCAGUGAAAUGCGUAGAGAUCAUGAGGAAGACCAGUGGCGAAGGCGGGUCUCUGGACAGUUCCUGACACUGAGACACGAAGGCCAGGGGAGCAAACGGG